This 497-nucleotide ribosomal RNA is filed under the name uncultured bacterium. RNAcentral describes it as "partial 16S ribosomal RNA". It matches the Rfam family "Bacterial small subunit ribosomal RNA", at positions 28 to 507 of the family's 1533-position model. The record is from RNAcentral.
GAUGAACGCUGGCGGCGUGCCUAAUACAUGCAAGUCGAGCGAACGGACGAGAAGCUUGCUUCUCUGAUGUUAGCGGCGGAAGUGUGAGUAACACGUGGAUAACCUACCUAUAAGACUGGGAUAACUUCGGGAAACCGGAGCUAAUUCCGGAUAAUAUUUUGAACCUCAUGGUUCAAAAGUGAAAGACGGUCGUGCUGUCACUUAUAGAUGUAUCCGCGCUGCAUUAGCUAGUUCGUAAGGUAACGGCUUACUAAGGCAACGAUGCAUAGCCGACCUGAGAGCGGGAAGCGGCCCAGUGAGACUGAGAGACGGCACUGAGUCUUACGGGAGGCCGCAGCAGCGACUCUUCCCAACUGGGCGAAAGACUGCCGGAGCAACGCAGCGCGAGUGCUGCAGGUCCUCGUAUCGUAAAACUCUGUUAUGAGGGAAGAACAUAUGUGUAAGUAACUGUGCACAUCUUGACGGUACCUAAUCAGAAAGCAACGGCUAACUACGUG